Molecule: ribosomal RNA, 253 nt
Filed under: uncultured bacterium
Lineage: Bacteria
Description: partial 16S ribosomal RNA
Rfam family: Bacterial small subunit ribosomal RNA
Source: RNAcentral
UACGGGGGGGGCAAGCGUUGUUCGGAAUUACUGGGCGUAAAGGGCUCGUAGGCGGCCAACUAAGUCAUACGUGAAAUCCCUCGGCUUAACCGGGGAACUGCGUCUGAUACUGGAUGGCUUGAGAUUGGGAGAGGGAUGCGGAAUUCCAGGUGUAGCGGUGAAAUGCGCAGAUAUCAGGAAGAACACCCGUGGCGAAGGCGGCUCUCUGGGACGGUACUGACGCUGAGACGCGAAAGCGUGGGGAGCGAACAGG